CUACCAUGCAGUCGAGGGGUAACGAUGGCUUCGGCCAGGCGACGACCGGCGCACGGGUGAGUAUCGCGUUUGUAACCUACCUCUAACUGGAGAAUAGCCCGAAGAAAUUCGGAUUAAUACUCCAUAAUACUAUGAAUUGGCAUCUUUUUAUAGUUAAAGCUCCGGCGGUUGGAGAUGGGCAUGCGUGACAUUAGUUUGUUGGUGAGGUAAUGGCUCACCAAGACUACGAUGUCUAGGGGGUCUGAGAGGAUGGUCCCCCACACUGGUACUGAGACACGGACCAGACUCCUACGGGAGGCAGCAGUGAGGAAUAUUGGUCAAUGGGCGAAAGCCUGAACCAGCCAUGCCGCGUGAAGGAUGACAGCCCUAUGGGUUGUAAACUUCUUUUGUACGGGAAGAAACACUUCUACGUGUAGAAGCUUGACGGUACCGUACGAAUAAGCAUCGGCUAACUCCGUGCCAGCAGCCGCGGUAAUACGGAGGAUGCAAGCGUUAUCCGGAUUUAUUGGGUUUAAAGGGUACGUAGGCGGAAAAUUAAGUCAGUGAUGAAAUCCUGCAGCUUAACUGUAGAACUGUUAUUGAUACUGGUUUUCUUGAAUGUAGUUGAGGUAGGCGGAAUGUGUAAUGUAGCGGUGAAAUGCUUAGAUAUUACACAGAACACCGAUUGCGAAGGCAGCUUACUAAACUACGAUUGACGCUGAGGUACGAAAGCGUGGGGAGCGAACAGGAUUAGAUACCCUGGUAGUCCACGCUGUAAACGAUGAUCACUCGUUGUUGGCAAUACAUCGUCAGCGACUGAGCGAAAGCAUUAAGUGAUCCACCUGGGGAGUACGAUCGCAAGAUUGAAACUCAAAGGAAUUGACGGGGGCCCGCACAAGCGGAGGAACAUGUGGUUUAAUUCGAUGAUACGCGAGGAACCUUACCUGGGCUAAAUGUAGAACGACGGAUCGGGAAACUGAUCUCUCGGACGUCUGCAAGGUGCUGCAUGGCUGUCGUCAGCUCGUGCCGUGGAGGUGUCGGUAGUCCAUACGAGCGCAACCCUCCAUCAUUAGUUGCCAGCGGGUAAAUGGCCGGGACUCUAU
RNAcentral lists this ribosomal RNA (1082 nucleotides) under uncultured bacterium. RNAcentral's name for it is "bacterial SSU rRNA". It matches the Rfam family "Bacterial small subunit ribosomal RNA", at positions 49 to 1143 of the family's 1533-position model. The record is from RNAcentral.